CAUUAAUACUGUUUACCCUCCCAACCCCCCCUGUACAUACCAUAUUGGGGCCUCGGGGGGGCCUGUUUCGGCAGCCCGCCAGAGGACCCAAACCCUAUAUUUUUAUACAGUAUCUUUUGAGUAAAUGAUUAAAUAAAUCAAAACUUUCAACAACGGAUCUCUUGGUUCUGGCAUCGAUGAAGAACGCAGCGAAAUGCGAUAAGUAAUGUGAAUUGCAGAAUUCAUUGAAUCAUCGAAUCUUUGAACGCACAUUGCGCCCGCCAGUAUUCUGGCGGGCAUGCCUGUUCGAGCGUCAUUUCAACCCUCAAGCCCCCGGGCUUGGUGUUGGAGAUCGGCGAGCCCCCCGGGGCGCGCCGCCUCCCAAAUAUAGUGGCGGUCUCGCUGUAGCUUCCUCUGCGUAGUAGCACUCCUCGCACUGGGAAACAGCCUGGCCACUCCGUUAAACCCCCCACUUCUGAAAGGUUGACCCCGAAUCGGGUAAGAAUACCCGC
RNAcentral lists this ribosomal RNA (491 nucleotides) under fungal sp. E15114I. RNAcentral's name for it is "eukaryotic LSU rRNA". The stretch from base 142 to 295 matches the Rfam family "5.8S ribosomal RNA". The record is from RNAcentral. Lineage: Eukaryota; Fungi.